Molecule: unclassified non-coding RNA, 219 nt
Filed under: uncultured Xylariaceae
Lineage: Eukaryota; Fungi; Ascomycota; Sordariomycetes; Xylariales; Xylariaceae
Description: sequence contains ITS1
Source: RNAcentral
GCGAGUUAAUAAUAAACUCCAAACCCCUGUGAACAUACCUACUGUUGCCUCGGCAGGUCGUGCUGCACGGUUUGUAGCUCCUACCCUGGAGUAGCUACCCUAGAGUAGCUACCCUGUAGUUGGGAGCGCCUACCCUGUAGCACGCAACCAGGCCUGCCGGCGGACCCCUAAACUCUGUUUUUACAACUGUAUCUCUGAGUUUACUAUAUAAAUAAGUUA